ACACCUCAACUCUCAUGGUUUGCCGUGAUGAGCUUGGACUUUGGAGGUUUUGCUGGCAUCUGUGGUCAGCUCCUCUCAAAUGAAUCAGCUUGCUAGUGAUUGGUGGCACUGUGGGUGUGAUAACUAUCUACGCCCAUGGGUGUCCACCAGGCAACCUUCAGCGAUGGAGGUUCACAGGGGCUUAGAAACGUCUCUUCUCGGUGAGGGACAGCAUUUGAAC
Molecule: unclassified non-coding RNA, 220 nt
Filed under: uncultured Thelephoraceae
Lineage: Eukaryota; Fungi; Basidiomycota; Agaricomycetes; Thelephorales; Thelephoraceae
Description: sequence contains ITS2
Source: RNAcentral